UCCUUUGGCGGCCUUGCAGCUUUUAUGGCUCCAGGCCUAUCCAUACCUCCCCUGGGAGUGGUUGGACUAUGCAGCUGUGACUUGUGCUGACUUGUGCUGUGACUCUUGGGGUGUCCUGUGCAGGGUCAGAAGCUGGACUUGAUGAUCCUGGUGUGUCCCUUCUGACUCAGGAUAUUGUAUGACUCGAUGACUCCAAACCCACACCUCACAGCACAGGAAAUGAGAACAGUGAUCUGAUUUCUUGGCCAAGCCUUGAGAGACUGCCUUCAGAAGGAGAAGAUGGGAAACUGAUUUUUAACAGUGACUCAGUGUCAUCAUCUUCAGCCCAGCCCCGACUCAAACUAUCAAACAACCUGUACUGAAUAAGGAAGAAAUCUGCACCCCAGGUUUCCUGCAUGCAAGCAAGAAGCAACAAAAAACCCCUGAAGUUCUAUAUAACUACAUUUCUGAAGACUUUCCAGAUUGUAUUACUAUGUAGUCAAUGGUCCAGAAAGAAAAUGACUAUAAGGAGAAUUUAUGAACCUUGUGCAAAAAGAGAGAUGAGUGAAUUGCACUUUUAUUUCACAUUAAUUCCCUCUUUUUUGUCAUCCUCCUGUUAACUGUACACAGAAAAGUUUGAACUUGAUCUUAAUGCCAAAGUAGAAAAGAUGGGUUUUAUAAUUCAAAAUAUGUUGUGCAGUUAAGAACUACUAGUUCCUAUCCAUCUCCAUUCAUGAACAAAGGAAAUAUAUACUAUAGGCUGUAAUUCAAGACUCAAAGACAUGGGAGGGAUCCCAAAUUUACUUUGCUUUGCUUUGUCCAGUUGCUGCCUUACAUCUGACCUUCCUCACAUCACAGUCUUUCCACCAUAUUCCUGGGUGCUGCUGCCCAUGUUUUCAUUGCAGAAAAUAUAGAAAUCUUACAUUGGCUAAUCUUUCUCUCUGUGCAGUUCACAUCUAAAGGCCAUCAUGCACCACAGUCAUAUGGAUUUGACUAAUUUUUGAGUUAAAUAUGCUUUUGAGUGGAAAAAGAGAGGGGCAUCUCUCUGCAAAGUGGACAAACUCUUGCAGCUCUGAGGCAACUCUUGCAAAGAGUUGCACAAAAAAAAAAAAAACAGCUGAAAGCUAAGUUUUAUGCCUGAGGGACAGUGACCAGAGUAACAGGGUAAUUUUCUUCUGCUCUCUUUGUGCAUCCAGUAUAAACACGUCUGGAUUUGUUGGACUUUGAGGAUUAGUAAGUUGCAUGAGUGGAGGAUCUGCUCUACCCAAGAUUAAAGAAAUAGGUCCUGGUAUUUUGACAAAGCCAGUCAACAGGAAACCUAGACUUUUCAGACCAGGUUACCUGGACUUAAGGUAUUUGAAGUGAGUCAACCAGACAGAGAACACUGUUGAGUCUGGUCCUUUAAUGGGGAGUAAUUCACAUGGCAACACCUUGGACUGUUGUCAACAUUUCUGCAGUACUGAAUCAGCCUGGAGCAGCAGCUGCAAGAGUACUCAACUUAUCAGAAAGCACAUUUUGAUGUCUACCUAAAUGGGAGAAUACAUUUAAAAACUUAGGUGGAACUACAAAAAUCUGGUCCCUUCACAAUGCAUCAUUCAACCUUUCAAGUGUCUCCAUGUCCCUCCCAACUCCUAGACCUACCUGCAGCUGAAUAGAAAGAGUGAAAUCACCUAAGAUGGCAGAGCUGUUCAAGCCUUGCUGUUGUCUGAGAGGAAGCAGAAAUUACUUUUCUGUCUGCCUAUCCCCUGCUGCAGAGACCUGCCUCCUCUUUUGCAGCUUCUGUGGGAGCUCGGUGAGCUCAGGGUGCUGCACUGGGAUCUCUGUUCACACAAACCAGAGUGGUGCUGUGCCAUGGCCUGCUGGGAUAACUCUGCCAUCAAGUGAAGAACAGACAGCCUUUUAUAGACCCACUGCUGACCUUGUUAAAACAAUAAGGAUGUUCUCUUCCCUCUAGAUGCAUGGUCUGGAAAAUAUUUGUGCUCCUGCAAAUUUUGGAAGAGAUGUCAAAAGGAGGAUAUUUUUUGAAUGUCUUCAGAACACAAAUCGUGUUUAAUGAGUUUUUUUCACCUUUUUGUAAAGAAGUAGCAACACACAUUUUCCCACAAGAUGGCAGAGGCGAGUUGUGAAAUUUAUGGGCAAAUAUGUAUGGAGACACAUGAAAAUCUGAAAAUAGAAGAUACAGGCUCAAUAAACCAACAAAACAGAGUAUCAUGUAUUAUAUUAUGGGCUCCCAGCAAGGUGAUAUCACCUCGCCCUUCACAGGCAAGGAGAGCUGCCACACAGCCUCAAAGCCAGCAGUGCAGCAGACAGCAGGGAUGGACUGACGCUCUCAGCUGCUGUAGGGGGAACAAGAAGAAGCAAGGUUGAAGAAAUUCACUUGUAUAUUUGGAAACUUCAUGAGGUUCUGUAAAAAGACGGAGCAAAAAGACACCGCUCCAGUAGAGCUUAUUGCCCUCUCUGAGAAAUGAUGCA
This is a long non-coding RNA of Passer montanus (Eurasian tree sparrow), 2451 nucleotides long. RefSeq lists it as uncharacterized. The record is from RefSeq and is a predicted model, not a curated record. The transcript is spliced from 6 exons. NCBI's taxonomy places the organism in Eukaryota, Metazoa, Chordata, Aves, Passeriformes, Passeridae.